This 939-nucleotide long non-coding RNA is filed under the name Cyanistes caeruleus (blue tit). Its description in RNAcentral is "lncRNA (ENSCCEG00000011996.1)". The record is from RNAcentral. Lineage: Eukaryota; Metazoa; Chordata; Aves; Passeriformes; Paridae.
GAAAAAGAUAAGUCCUAUACCUACCCUGAGAAGGGAACCUUUGCAAAUGAAAGCAAGUGAACACUGACCUCACCUCUCUUUCAUAGCCCCUUAUACAUCUGGUCAGCAAGAUGGUUGUUGCCAGCCUCUCACUGCCUGAUGAAAUAAUGCUCUGCUUGAGCCUGACACCUUAGCACAGUAGCAAUGGAUCUUAAUGUCUUCUUAUUCCCAAUGAACAAAGGGCUAAAUCUAGUCAUUGCCUCUUCUGCAAAUGCUUGCUGAAGUGCAGUUUAGUUAAGCUAAACUUGUAACUUGUAACUUGUCUGGGUUGACAGACUCCCUUAUCUAAAUAAGAAAAUGUUUCAGAAAAGUGCUUCAGUCUUGGCAAGAAUUUCAUACUCACUGAAAUAAUGGUAGCAGUGGAAGUGGUGACAGAAGAAUGGGAGAACUGAUUCCCUAGCAAGAUGGUUCUCUUUUCUUGUAGUCGAGUUCAAGAUCCUCGGUUACUGAUGGAAAAUCAUCUAGCAUUUGUUACGGAUCGAGGUCAGAACUGCAUAUCUGAGACACAUUUAGAAUGGUGACUCUGAUAAAACCAAGGUGGGGCAUUUUUCCCAUCUCCUUGCUACUGAUGAGGAUCCUGUGGAACACAGCUGUCUUCAUUACUGAGGGUCAUGCUGAGUGGAGGUGCAGGGAUUUUCAUUUCUUUCUUUCAACAUCUAACAAAAGGUAUCCAAAGAAUGUGGCUGAAGUUGUCUUCAUAUCUGGAGAUGAGUCUCAUAAAAAUGAGGUAAGAACCAUAAAUCAGGGGAAGCAAUUGGAAGUGGUGACUGCUGUUAUAUUAUUCCACUUGACUGAGUGCAAUUUUUAUUACUCACAUUUGCAAGAUGUGAGGACCUCACAAGGUUGAAAAUGUGAACUAUUUUUCUGUCAUUCAAUAAAAAAUCCAUAGAAAUAUUUGCA